RNAcentral lists this ribosomal RNA (500 nucleotides) under uncultured bacterium. RNAcentral describes it as "partial 16S ribosomal RNA". It matches the Rfam family "Bacterial small subunit ribosomal RNA", at positions 28 to 507 of the family's 1533-position model. The record is from RNAcentral.
GACGAACGCUGGCGGCGUGCUUAACACAUGCAAGUCGAACGGGUCUGCCCUGUUUUUUGCGGGGUGGGUCAGUGGCGAACGGGUGAGUAACACGUGAGUAACCUGCCCCUCACUUCUGGAUAACCGCUUGAAAGGGUGGCUAAUACGGGGUGUUCUGGCUGUGCCGCAUGGUGUGGCUGGGAAAGAUUCACUUUUGUGGUGUUUUGGUGGGGGAUGGGCUCGCGGCCUAUCAGCUUGUUGGUGGGGUGAUGGCCUGCCAAGGCUUUGACGGGUAGCCGGCCUGAGAGGGUGGGCGGUCACACUGGGACUGAGAUACGGCCCAGACUCCUGCGGGAGGCAGCAGUGGGGGGUAUUGCACAAUGGGCGGAAGCCUGAUGCAGCGACGUCGCGUGAGGGAUGGAGGCCUUCGGGUUGUGAACCUCUUUCGCCGGUGAAGAUGGUCCUGCUCUUUGUGGUGGGGUUGACGGUAGCCGGGUUAUGAAGCGCCGGCUAACUACGUG